Gossypium raimondii (Peruvian cotton) is the source of this 145-nucleotide non-coding RNA. The record is from Rfam. Lineage: Eukaryota; Viridiplantae; Streptophyta; Magnoliopsida; Malvales; Malvaceae.
UAUUAAAAAUUUCAUCUAAUUCUAUUGUUAAAAACUGAUGUGGAUGACAAAAUAAUCAAAUAGUUGCACGUAAUGUGUCAUAUAUAUCUCAUUUAACAUAUAUAAAAUAAUUUUUAACAAAUAAAAAUAAAUAAAAUUUUUAAUA